AGCAGCCGCGGUAAUUCCAGCUCCAAUAGCGUAUAUUAAAGUUGUUGCAGUUAAAAGCUCGUAGUUGAAUUUCGGGGUUCAUCCGUUGGUCGGGCUUUUUGGUCUGUACUGGCGUGAUGGAUUCCUACCUUCUGAAUAACCGGCAUGCCAUUAAUUUGGUGCGCCGGGGAAGCAGGACUGUUACCUUGAAAAAAUUAGAGUGCUUAAAGCAGGCUUAUGCCUGAAUACAUUAGCAUGGAAUAAUGAAAUAGGACGUUUGAUUCUAUUUUGUUGGUUUCUAGGAUCGACGUAAUGAUUAAUAGGGAUAGUUGGGGGCAUUAGUAUUCAAUUGUCAGAGGUGAAAUUCUUGGAUUUAUUGAAGACUAACUACUGCGAAAGCAUUUGCCAAGGAUGUUUUCAUUAAUCAAGAACGAAAGUUAGGGGAUCGAAGACGAUCAGAUACCGUCGUAGUCUUAACCAUAAACUAUGCCGACUAGGGAUCGGAUGAUGUUAAUUUUUUAAUGACUCAUUCGGCGCCUUA
RNAcentral lists this ribosomal RNA (520 nucleotides) under uncultured Acaulospora. RNAcentral's name for it is "SSU rRNA". It matches the Rfam family "Eukaryotic small subunit ribosomal RNA", at positions 569 to 1090 of the family's 1831-position model. Lineage: Eukaryota; Fungi; Glomeromycota; Glomeromycetes; Diversisporales; Acaulosporaceae. The record is from RNAcentral.